Molecule: long non-coding RNA, 625 nt
Organism: Elaeis guineensis (African oil palm)
Lineage: Eukaryota; Viridiplantae; Streptophyta; Magnoliopsida; Arecales; Arecaceae
Source: RefSeq, a predicted model, not a curated record
GCAGUUUAAUAUUGAAGAUGGACUCAUGCGCAACUCCUAGACCACCACUCUAGUCUCCCAAUUUUCCCUUUCUUAAUAUUCAUCAGCAACUACCUUCGGACGUUAACACAAUGGAAACCAACAGUUAUCCAAGUUCCCAGACAGGAUUUUAAGCUCAGAAUAAUUCAAUUCCCUGUGUCAAAAGCUCCUUGUGCUGGAAACACGAAAGAUCAGCAUGACCUCAGACAUGCAAAAUAGUAUCUAUGGUACUAGUUUUGAAAAUCUCAAAUAAGGAACAGAUACUAGAUUCCCAAUUGCAAAAUGCACUUAUCUUCAGGACUGAAGUAUGCCACAGCACAGACCAAGUAAUUCAGUAUUUAGCCUUUCUUCUAAUCUACUGCCUUGAAUUUCUGAGAUGGAUUCUCGCAUUUAAUUGGACUCCAUGUUCCUGUGAAGCUUGAAACAAGGGUAGAGACUUCUUCUUCUGUGCAUAUCAGAUAUUUUCAGCACAUGGCCUUCUGAAGUUGCUGCUUAUUGCAUUUCUUUGCAAAGAAAUGAGCUACCAGAAAGUGGACUGGUUUUUGCAUCAUUGUAUAUAGAGCAGAUAUUGAAUUCCAGAAAUAAGUUUUCGAGAUGUUUUUGCUAA